CGGCGCUUCCUACACCCAGAGGUGCAGAUUUCCCACGUGAAUCGUUUGUAGUUCCUCUCUGCAUUUCCUCUUCAGUUUCUCUGACCUGCUGAAGGCUUGCCAUUCGUCAUCACUCUAGUUGCAGGGAGGAGAUUUGCCAACUAAUUUGGAUCAAGAUCAGUACUGAAAGAAGAAGAAGAAGAAGAAGAAGAAGAAGAAGAAGNNNNNNNNNNNNNNNNNNNNNNNNNNNAGCUGCUGCUGAGUGGUGGUGGCACACAAUUUUAAUCCCAGCACUUGAGAGGCAGGGGCAGGUGGAUCUCUAUGAGUUCGUGACCAGCCUGGUCUGCAGAGCAAGUUCCAUGACAGCCAGGGCUACACAAAGAAACCCUGCCUCCAAAUAAUAAGUAAAUAAACAAACAAAUAAAUAACAAAACAAAAAACAAACCAAAACCCAUGCCCCCCCCCAAAAAAAACCAGAAAUACAAUUUAAGGAAUACAUCAUGAUCUUUAUGAAAUACCCCAAUGAUCCCUUCAUGCUUCCCCAAUACACCUUCCCAUACCUGCAUAACCUUGUUUUAGACAUAGAGUUCAGCAUUUUCACAGGCUUAACUAAGUAUUGAGCCAGACACAUCCUGUUCUUGCUGAAUAUUAGCCCAUAGGAAUGACAGUCAGUUAACCACAAUCAUAUUCUGACUGACAUCUGGCUACAGAGUUCUUGUACCCAAUACUACCUGACUGACCCAGUCAAAAAUAGGAGCCAAUAAUAAAGCUGUUCAUGUAAACCU
RNAcentral lists this long non-coding RNA (764 nucleotides) under Cricetulus griseus (Chinese hamster). RNAcentral's name for it is "lncRNA (ENSCGRG00000026168.1)". The record is from RNAcentral. Lineage: Eukaryota; Metazoa; Chordata; Mammalia; Rodentia; Cricetidae.